Molecule: non-coding RNA, 1180 nt
Organism: Chlorocebus sabaeus (green monkey)
Lineage: Eukaryota; Metazoa; Chordata; Mammalia; Primates; Cercopithecidae
Source: the annotation of a RefSeq genome assembly
GAGAUCACAUCUCCCAAAUGAGAAGGAACAGUUCACUUCCUUGGAUCUGUGGUUCCACGUGUGCCCUUCAGGGGGCGACGUUGCACUAAGGAGGCAUCUGUGUUCGUUGCAGACCAUCCUCAUCUACUGAGUCUCCUCCCUGCAGCUGGCUGAUGUAGCUCACUGAUGUGUGUGUAGACAGGGAGCUGUGACGAGAACAAGAGGUCAGAACACAUCCAGACUCCUUAAGGGAAGACCUCUUUCUGUCUUGGAAACUUUUCAAAGCCAGGGACUUGUCCAGCCCAACCUUCCGACUGCUCCUAGCUCCUGAGGCUCAGGGCCCUUGGCUUCUGUCCGCCCUGCUCAGGGCCCGCCAGCGUCGCCACUCCUCAGCCAUGCUCCUGCUGCUCGUCCCAGUGCUCGAGGUGAUUUUUACCCUGGGAGGAACCAGAGCCCAGUCUGUGACCCAGCUUGACAGCCAGGUCUCUGUCUCUGAAGGAGUCCCUGUGCUGCUGAGGUGCAACUACUCAUCGUCUUUUCCACCAAAUCUCUUCUGGUACGUGCAAUACCCCAACCAAGGUCUCCAGCUUCUCCUGAAGUACAUAUCAGGGACCGCGCUGGUUAAAGGCAUCAACGGUUUUAAGGCUGAAUUUAAGAAGAGUGAAACCUCCUUCCACUUGACGAAAGCCUCAGCCCAUGUGAGCGAUGCGGCUGAGUACUUCUGUGCUGUGAGUGACACAGUGCCUGAGACUGCAGGGCAGCUGAACACAAACCUCCUGAGAUACUGAGACUUUCUGUGACUCGAGAACUCAAACUUGAAGUCUGUUUUAUGAUAUUAAAUAGCAAUUCCAAGUUUCUGAUGCUUAUUGAUGUAUGCUGUAUCUUUUUCGUCUGUUUAUUUUUAAACUAUCUAUGACUUUAAAAUCUAUUUCCUGUAGGUAGCAUAAAAGAGCAUCUUUUAUUUUUAUCUACUUUAUUAAUCUCUGUUUUUGCAUUGUGAAGUUUAGAUAAUUAAAAUUGAAUAUAAAUAUCAAUCAGGUUGGAUUUAAGUAUAUUUCAUUAUUGUGUUUCACCCAUGUUCCUUUUUUUGUUCUUUUUUUCUGACUCUUUUGGAUUAUUUAAAUACUUUUUCAAUUUACAUUUUAAUUUAUCUAUGAACUUUUUGGCUAUAACUCUGUACUUUUUGAGUAGUUGCUCUGGA